RNAcentral lists this long non-coding RNA (2926 nucleotides) under Homo sapiens (human). Its description in RNAcentral is "HSALNT0403222". The record is from RNAcentral. Lineage: Eukaryota; Metazoa; Chordata; Mammalia; Primates; Hominidae.
GCCACCAUUUUGGCAACCAGGAAGGGACCUCCAAAGCGGGAGAAAGCAUUUAUGGUGAGGAGAAAAGCAGCUGGUAUCACACUCUACCCAAGUCCCAAAAGCAGGUUCACAUAACUCCUGUCUUCAUUAUCUGAUAUCCGGGACUUUUUCCCUUUCACCUUCCAUUAUAGGAUGAUGCAGCAAGAAGGCCCUCACCAGAUACCAGUCCUUUGAUCUUGGACUACCCAGGCUUCAGAACUAUAAGAAAUAAAUCUCCGUUCUUUGAGGAUUACCCAGUUUGUGCUAUUCUGUUAUGGCAGCACAAAAUGGACUAAGACAUAGGUCCAAUCUAAGGCCUAUCUCCCAGAGGACACCUCAUAGCUGUGAAUGAAUGAGCACUAAGUAAGCCAGCAUCUGCCUUUUUUGUUCUGGAAAUCCCACUGUUUAUAAGAUUUCAAACUAUUGCACAUCUCUGGUAAUCUUUUCUCCUUGUUUCUCUCUCUACAAGGUCAAACAGACCUGUACAUUUUCAACUGACUCUACUGGUUCCUUUUAUUUUAUUUUACAUGCUAACUUUGAUGCUUCCCCUUGCUAUUGAGGGACAAUUUAGAAUAAUGAUUAAAGGGAAUAUUUUACAACCAGAAAUUAUAUGUCCUAAUUCCCAUUCUUACCUAUUAGUCAGUGUGUAUCUUUGCUUCUACUCCUAAUUCGCAAAAUGGAGAUAAAAUUGUAAACUGGACUCUCAGGGUAGGUGUAAGAAGCAGAUGACUUAACAUAUACAGAGCACUUAGAAAAAGUGCUGAGGCUCAAUCUCUGGGGUCUCUUUUAUUUUUGUUUUUACUUAUCUUUAUUUUGUAUUUGUAUAAUUUUAAGGGAUACACAUGACAUUUUGCUAUAUGGGUAUGUUGCAUACUGGUGAAACCUGGGCUUUCAGUAUAACCAUCUCCUGAGUAAUGUUCAUUAUACCAGUUAGGUAAUUUAUCAUUCCUUUUAUGAGGGUACUCAUUCUAUUCAUGAGGACUCUGAGUCCAUGACCUAAUCCCCUGCAAAAGUCCCUACCUUAUAAAACAGACAGAUUUGGGGUUAGAAUUUCAACAUAUGAAUUUUAGGGGGACACAAACGUUGUCUAUAUAAAGUGGUAAUGUAUGUUAAAAUCUCUGUAAAAUAGGCAACCACUAUAAUUCAUCCUUAUGACCAAUACUUCCAAUUGUACAUCCACAUUUUCUCUUUUCUAUAGUUAUUCUGUAUUAAAAUUCCUUCCUUUUGAGUCCCUGUAAACAACCUAGCUCAUUCUCCAUCUUCAGAAUCAGAAAUCUAAUAGGGCAUAGUUGAUUCGGGUUAAAAUUACUCUGGCUAAAAUUGAAAGGAAUGUUUGCUAUUGUAAUGAUAAAAUUAACAUGUAAGAUGGAGAUCAUAAAUAUAAUUAAGGAAAUUCAAUUUUUCUACUAAACUUCAUAGAAUCAUUAGGAGAAUAAUAGCCUUGUGCCACCAGUUCAAAUGUAGCAAUCCCCUAAUGAGUUAUUUUGAUUAUUGAGUUAUGUAUUUAUAAGACACACAUAUAUUGUAAACUUCAGAUUUCUCAUUCACUUGACUUUGAAUUUUGACAAAAUAUAUGUUUUAAGAAACCAAUUACCACAUCUAUUUAUUUAGUCAUGGACUUUCUUCUCAAGAUCAGUACAACACUAUUUUAUUUGAAAUGAUGUUUGUUUCUCAGAGUAAGGGAAAUAACAUAACUUUUAGAUGACUUCUAAAUUAAUCAAAAUCAAUAUGCACAGUAUCAAUAUAUGUAACUUAGAAUAGUUUUAUUGUUACUCAUCUAUUUAAUAAAUAUUAUUGUGCAUAUUAUAUAGUAGAUUGUGUGCUAGGUGCUGGGAAUAUGAAGAAGAAAUAAAAUAUGUUCUGAUUUCAGAGAACAGAUAACCUAAUAAGAGAAAUCAGAAAUGUAAAAUAUAAAUAAAUGGGAAUCAACAUGGUUACUAUUAUAAUAAAGGUCUAUACAAGAACAUUGAAGGAAUAACUUUACAUGGGGUAAUCAAGAAAGCUGUUAUCAAAAUUUGAGACUUAUCAUUUCCUAAAACUUUGUUUUACAUAUAUUCUAUAAUUUUAAAAUAAUAUUAAUUGCUCCCUUUAUCAGCAUCAUACUAGUCCCCUAAGUGAACAGAUCAUUGCAUUCAGAAAGAACAUCUCAGUCUUGGGUAACUGAAAGUGGUAACCUCCUAUGCUCUCACCAUAUAAAGUGAUCAUUUUCCAAAAACAGAAAACACAAAUUUUGUUUUGAUUUUUUUCUUCCAUGCCUGUAAAUAUAUACAAGCCUUCAUCAUGUUUCCAGUGACCUUCAAACCUCUAGUUCUGACCCACUUUUUCUCUUCUUUUCACUCAGCUUAUGGUAUAGAAUAAAAACCCAUCAAUAUCCUUCUUGGAAGUUAAAAUUUCUAUGUACAUCAUCACUUAACAGGUGCUGAUUUUCUGUCAUUUUUAAGCCUUCAUUUCCACUAAUCAAGGUCAAAUUAGGUUUUGCAGACUAGAAAUAGUGGAUUGGACUCACGUAGAUUAGAUUCAUUCAAAAACUCUCUAUGUAUUAGCAUACUUUGAAAUGCCUGUAGAAUGGGUUUCUCCUCCUUGCCUGUAGUCCUUUAAGAGUCUCGAAACACGACCGUGUCUUUUCUAUGUACAUUUCCCUUGAUGCAUCUCUACAUUUCCCAUAAGCAGAGUGUCGCUAACACCGGUAAACACUAACUCAUACAUAUUCAAUGAUUGCUGUGAUGCUGGGGUUCCAAAUGUCCUAAGCAAGCACUUGAACUUCCUGAAGUUACUCUUUUACUAGAUCUAGGCAGGUAGAUAUAAAGUGAUUUUAAAUAGUUUUUUUUAAAAUUUAUGUAUUAAAAUGAGGUUCUAGUAGAUCAUAGUAUCAGGAAAUUCUGUAUAUUUUUAUGCUUAUCUGUCCAAC